Molecule: ribosomal RNA, 486 nt
Filed under: uncultured bacterium
Lineage: Bacteria
Description: partial 16S ribosomal RNA
Rfam family: Bacterial small subunit ribosomal RNA
Source: RNAcentral
AUUGAACGCUGGCGGCAUGCCUUACACAUGCAAGUCGAACGGCAGCACGGGUGCUUGCACCUGGUGGCGAGUGGCGAACGGGUGAGUAAUACAUCGGAACAUGUCCUGUAGUGGGGGAUAGCCCGGCGAAAGCCGGAUUAAUACCGCAUACGAUCUACGGAUGAAAGCGGGGGACCUUCGGGCCUCGCGCUAUAGGGUUGGCCGAUGGCUGAUUAGCUAGUUGGUGGGGUAAAGGCCUACCAAGGCGACGAGCAGUAGCGGGUCUGAGAGGUCGACCAGCCACACUGGGACUGAGACACGGCCCCUACUCCUACGGGAGGCCGCAGUGGGGAAUUGUGGACAAUGGGCGAAAGCAUGAUCCAGCAAUGCCGCGUGUGUGAAGAAGGCCUUCGGGUUGUAAAGCACUUUUGUCCGGAAAGAAAUCCUUGGCCCUAAUACGGUCGGGGGAUGACGGUACCGGAAGAAUAAGCACCGGCUAACUACGUG